UGGGCUUGACAUGGGCAGGAUCGCUGCAGAGAUGUAGUUUCCUUUUUGGCUUGUUCACAGGUGGUGCAUGGUUGUCGUCAGCUCGUGUCGUGAGAUGUUGGGUUAAGUCCCGCAACGAGCGCAACCCUUGUCUUGUGUUGCCAGCACGUGGUGGUGGGGACUCGCGAGAGACUGCCGGGGUUAACUCGGAGGAAGGUGGGGAUGACGUCAAAUCAUCAUGCCCCUUAUGUCCAGGGCUUCACACAUGCUACAAUGGUCGGUACAGUGGGUUGCGAUGCCGUGAGGUGGAGCUAAUCCCUUAAAGCCGGUCUCAGUUCGGAUUGGAGUCUGCAACUCGACUCCAUGAAGUCGGAGUCGCUAGUAAUCGCAGAUCAGCAAUGCUGCGGUGAAUACGUUCCCGGGCC
RNAcentral lists this ribosomal RNA (404 nucleotides) under uncultured bacterium. Its description in RNAcentral is "bacterial SSU rRNA". It matches the Rfam family "Bacterial small subunit ribosomal RNA", at positions 976 to 1380 of the family's 1533-position model. The record is from RNAcentral.